UACAUGUGGGGCAAGCGUUGUUCGGAAUUACUGGGCAUAAAGGGUGCGUAGGCGGGCAGGUAAGUCAGUGGUGAAAUCUCCGGGCUUAACCCGGAAACUGCCGUUGAUACUAUCUGUCUUGAAUAUCGUGGAGGUAAGCGGAAUAUGUCAUGUAGCGGUGAAAUGCUUAGAUAUGACAUAGAACACCCAUUGCGAAGGCAGCUUACUACACGAUCAUUGACGCUGAGGCACGAAAGCGUGGGGAGCAAACAGG
This 253-nucleotide ribosomal RNA is filed under the name uncultured bacterium. RNAcentral describes it as "partial 16S ribosomal RNA". It matches the Rfam family "Bacterial small subunit ribosomal RNA", at positions 524 to 776 of the family's 1533-position model. The record is from RNAcentral.